Molecule: ribosomal RNA, 615 nt
Filed under: uncultured cyanobacterium
Lineage: Bacteria; Bacillati; Cyanobacteriota
Description: bacterial SSU rRNA
Rfam family: Bacterial small subunit ribosomal RNA
Source: RNAcentral
GAAUCUGCCUUCAGGUUCGGGACAACCACUGGAAACGGUGGCUAAUACCGAAUGUGCCGCAACGUGAAAGAUUUAUCGCCUGAAGAUGAGCUCGCGUCCGAUUAGCUAGUUGGUGAGGUAAAAGCUCACCAAGGCGACGAUCGGUAGCUGGUCUGAGAGGAUGACCAGCCACACUGGGACUGAGACACGGCCCAGACUCCUACGGGAGGCAGCAGUGGGGAAUUUUCCGCAAUGGGCGCAAGCCUGACGGAGCAAGACCGCGUGAGGGAGGAAGGCCCAAGCGGUUGUAAACCUCUUUUCUCAGGGAAGAAGAAUGACGGUACCUGAGGAAUCAGCAUCGGCUAACUCCGUGCCAGCAGCCGCGGUAAUACGGAGGAUGCAAGCGUUAUCCGGAAUUAUUGGGCGUAAAGCGUCUGUAGGUGGGCGUUCAAGUCUGCUGUCAAAGACCGGGGCUUAACCCUGGAAAGGCGGUGGAAACUGAAAGUCUAGAGUGCGGUAGGGGUAGAGGGAAUUCCCAGUGUAGCGGUGAAAUGCGUAGAGAUUGGGAAGAACACCGGUGGCGAAAGCGCUCUGCUGGGCCUGCACUGACACUAAGGGACGAAAGCUAGGGGAGCG